RNAcentral lists this small RNA (75 nucleotides) under Xanthomonas campestris. RNAcentral describes it as "sRNA sX9". It matches the Rfam family "Xanthomonas sRNA sX9". The record is from RNAcentral. Lineage: Bacteria; Pseudomonadati; Pseudomonadota; Gammaproteobacteria; Lysobacterales; Lysobacteraceae.
AUGUACCCUCGUACACUCCGGUUCCUCCGCGCCGUCCGCACCCACCUGACGAUUGCUCGUUACGUUUUGUUAGCC